Molecule: ribosomal RNA, 301 nt
Filed under: uncultured bacterium
Lineage: Bacteria
Description: partial 16S ribosomal RNA
Rfam family: Bacterial small subunit ribosomal RNA
Source: RNAcentral
CAGCCGCCACGGGAAUACGUAGGGUGCAAGCGUUAAUCGGAAUUACUGGGCGUAAAGCGUGCGCAGGCGGUUUGUUAAGACAGAUGUGAAAUCCCCGGGCUCAACCUGGGAACUGCAUUUGUGACUGGCAAGCUAGAGUGUGGCAGAGGGGGGUGGAAUUCCGCGUGUAGCAGUGAAAUGCGUAGAUAUGCGGAGGAACACCGAUGGCGAAGGCAGCCCCCUGGGCCAACACUGACGCUCAUGCACGAAAGCGUGGGGAGCAAACAGGAUUAGAUACCCGCGUAGUCCCUGUCUCUUAUAC